RNAcentral lists this ribosomal RNA (542 nucleotides) under uncultured bacterium. RNAcentral's name for it is "bacterial SSU rRNA". It matches the Rfam family "Bacterial small subunit ribosomal RNA", at positions 10 to 573 of the family's 1533-position model. The record is from RNAcentral.
AGUUGAUCCUGGCUCAGGAUGAACGCUGGCGGUGUGCCUAAGGCAUGCAAGUCGAACGAGAAACUCCGCUUGCGGAGUGGAAAGUGGCAGACGGGUGAGUAACACGUAGGAACCUACCUUUGAGCGGGGAAUAGCUCAGCGAAAGCUGAGGUAAUACCCCAUGGUCCUGAUUUCCGAGAGGUCUUCAGGUAAAGAUUUAUCACUCAGAGAGGGGCCUGCGUCCUAUCAGGUAGUUGGUGGGGUAAUAGCCUACCAAGCCGAUGACGGGUAGCCGGUGUGAGAGCACGACCGGCCACAAGGUUACUGAGACACGGAGCCUACACCUACGGGUGGCAGCAACCAGGAAUAUUGCGCAAUGGGCGAAAGCCUGACGCAGCGACACCGCGUGUGGGAUGAAGCUCCUCGGAGUGUAAACCACUGUGGCGAGGGAAGAAGUUCUGACUGUACCUCGCUAGAAAGCACCAGCUAACUACGUGCCAGAAGCUUCGGUAAUACGUAGGGUGCAAGCGUUAUCCGGAUUUACUGGGCGUAAAGGGUCCGUA